Molecule: ribosomal RNA, 464 nt
Filed under: uncultured Desulfuromonas sp.
Lineage: Bacteria; Pseudomonadati; Thermodesulfobacteriota; Desulfuromonadia; Desulfuromonadales; Desulfuromonadaceae
Description: bacterial SSU rRNA
Rfam family: Bacterial small subunit ribosomal RNA
Source: RNAcentral
CCCGCACAAGCGGUGGAGCAUGUGGUUUAAUUCGACGCAACGCGAAGAACCUUACCUGGGCUUGACAUCCCGAUCGUACCUGCUGGAAACAGCGGGGUCAGUUCGGCUGGAUCGGAGACAGGUGCUGCAUGGCUGUCGCCAGCUCGUGUCGUGAGAUGUUGGGUUAAGUCCCGCAACGAGCGCAACCCUUGUCCUUAGUUGCCAUCAUUUAGUUGGGCACUCUAAGGAGACUGCCGGUGUUAAACCGGAGGAAGGUGGGGAUGACGUCAAGUCCUCAUGGCCCUUAUGUCCAGGGCUACACACGUGCUACAAUGGCCGGUACAAAGGGCAGCAAAGCCGCGAGGUGGAGCCAAUCCCAGAAAGCCGGUCUCAGUUCGGAUUGGAGUCUGCAACUCGACUCCAUGAAGUUGGAAUCGCUAGUAAUCGCGGAUCAGCAUGCCGCGGUGAAUACGUUCCCGGGCUUU